ACAAACAAGAAAUAGAACACCGCCGCCGCCUAUGCACGCCGCCGCCCAUGCGCCGCCUCCUCCCUCCCCACCGACGCGCUGCCUCCUCCCUCCCCGCUAGCGCGCCGCCUCCUCCCUCCCGCCGGCGCGCUGCCUCCUCCCUUCCCGCCGGCGUGCCGCCUCCUUCCUCCCCCGCGGGCGCGCCGCCUCCUUCCAGCCCUGCCGGCGCACCCCCUCCUUCCUCCCGUGCCCGCGCGCCGGCACCCACGGCCGGCCCCAACCACGCGCCGCCGCCCAACUCCGGUUCCAAGCGCCGCCGCCCGACCCCUGGAUUCGCCCGCCGCCCCCCAACCACCGGAUCCGUGUGCUGCGUCCACCCCUGGAACCACGCAUCGCUAGCCGUCCUCCCAACUACUUCUGUCGCGCCACGAGGUUCUCACCCGCCUUCCCCACCUCUGGUUCUCCGAUGGAGCUGGUGGGCGACAGUGGUAAGCUCUUGUUCACACCUUUUUAGCUGCCGCACCUUUGCCUCGGGCCUGCUCCCUCUUGAAUAUUUGGACUGAUGCUUCCAUUGGUGGAGGCUGUGGAAUUCCAGCACCCAACGCGCCGCCACAAGGUUCCGCUUCUUCCCCCCGCCGCUGAGGCCUUCCGCCUCUAGGCUCCGCUUGCUUGCUUCCUACCCAUGUUCCCCUCCCUAGCCAGCUGAACCGCCUUUCUCCAACUCCUUGAACCGCCCUGAGCGCCCUAGCUGAACCUUCAAUCUCUGUCGUUAGCCCCUAGGAGUGACCCAUUUUCGUGCGACCACACACGCAGCUCUUGGCUAGCAGCCAUGCUGGCUGGUCACCUCCAAGCUUGAGGAUACUAGUAGGCGGCUUCUUGUCGCGAGCACACCAAAAUGGAUCUCUGCUUUGGGCCGCGGUGGGAACUCCAGGUUUCCUUUUUCAUCCGCCCCUCUAAUUGUUUUGGAGAACAGAGAUGGGAGCAACCUGCAAUUUGUGCUGCAUGUUCACUAAAAAAGUUUGGAUCCUGACCAGAUUAUUCUCAAGAAAUUGUUUCGACUUGAUAGAGAAAAAGAAAAUGAAGAGAAGGAUUACCAUCUCAUUUGCCUCGAUUUACUAUAAAGAACACAUGUGACAGCAAGUCCAGGAUGAAGUUAAAACAAGAUGCACAAGUUCAUAUUUUCUAUGCUUUUCAGUUCAUCUACUUCCCGAUGGGGUUCUUCGGUGGAGGUUCAACAAAAUGACCAGCAUCAGUUCAUGCCUCCAUCCACCACGCCAUCAGGAACACGAUUGGUGAGAAACACCUUCGUGCUCCUCCUCUCCUACUCUUCAGUUCACAUACUGCCAUCCAUGAAGGCCA
Long non-coding RNA from Triticum aestivum (bread wheat), 1338 nucleotides. RefSeq lists it as uncharacterized. NCBI's taxonomy places the organism in Eukaryota, Viridiplantae, Streptophyta, Magnoliopsida, Poales, Poaceae. The record is from RefSeq and is a predicted model, not a curated record. The transcript is spliced from 5 exons.